RNAcentral lists this long non-coding RNA (1385 nucleotides) under Struthio camelus australis. RNAcentral describes it as "lncRNA (ENSSCUG00000014138.1)". Lineage: Eukaryota; Metazoa; Chordata; Aves; Struthioniformes; Struthionidae. The record is from RNAcentral.
AAUGAACUCGCCUGUUUGCGCUCCCCUGGCCCCUCUCUCCUCCCACCGCCCGGGGGGCACUGUAUAUAUCCGCCUCUCCUUGCCCGCCUCGAGCACUUUGGGGGCUCCCCCCUGCUGCCCCCCUCUCCCGCCGGGGAUGGAGCGAGGAGUGAAGAGGACGGGGCCGGCUCUCCCCGCCGCCCGCUCCAGUGCCCACCUGCGGCACCCUGUGCUCCUGCACCUCCUGCACCUCCUGCAGCUGGCGGGGGGGGCACCCCUGGGCCCGGCGCUGUACCCCAUGCCGCCCGGCGUCCUGCAAGUUCAGUGCCUGCCUCGGCAACGGGGCAUGGGGAUGGGGGCAACUUUGCGGGAGGGUUUUGGCUGCCAAGGAGGGGGUGAGGCUGUGGGAACCAGGACUUUUGGCUUCUCUCUCCAGGGAGGAGUGAGCAAGUAGGACGCCUGGGUCCCUGUCCUGGGACAGGACAAGUCUCCCCAACCCCCGGGGCCUGGGGUUGGUGGCAAGUGCUGCCCGGGGAACAUGCGAGGGAAACUGAGGUUGCAGCAGGGGAUGCAGGGUUUGUGCCCUGCAGCCAGUGAGCUCUUCCUCCUGUCCCGUGUACCUGCAGCAGCCCCACGAGCUCCUCUGCCAGGGGGCACCGGGAGCUAUACAGUGGCUAUGGGAGGGGGGGGAGCAGCAGGCACAGGCGUGGGCGUGCACACGCAUGGGCAUGCAGACAUGUGCGCACGCACACGGGUGCACACGGGCAUGCACGCAGGCAUGGGCACACCUGCCUGGCACACACACCACUGCAUGCCCGUGUUCGCACACGUGUGUGCUCACAAGGGCUACAUGUGCAGCAGGGCACACAUGGGCGCUGGGAAACACCUUCCCUGUGCCACCCCAUCUGCCACCCCAUGUGCCAGGGAUAGACCCCAGGUGUCAGGGUGCCCAUCACCCCAAGCAGUGCCGACGGGGUGCUGGAGUCUGUGCUGGGGCUGCACUGGGCUCUCCCCAGCCUGGCACCCGCUGCGGAGGUGCCCGCUGCAGCAGGUGCCCAGGGCAGGUCAGCACAGAGCAAGGGGCACGGGCGCCGGUGGGCGCUCUGCAGUGCUGGGGGUCUGAGCGCCCUGCCAUGCACUCUCCAGCGCUGUCAAGCCGGGGGACGCUGGUGCUGGAGGCAGCGCUGAGGAGUGCCCUGUUGGCUCUGGAGGGGGCCCUGGCCGAGCACCAGCGGCAGCGGGGUGCCUGUGGGCUCUGUGCCCCCUGCCUCUUCCCGCCCUGUGCCAACAUCACUCACCGCUGCCCACCGCCGGCUGUGCCUCCCACCAUGCCCCCCAGCUGCCAGGCCCUGCUCGAUGCCCAGGCGCUGCCCGAGCUGCCCCAGCGCAACUGGGCGCUGAGCCAA